This is a long non-coding RNA of Eriocheir sinensis (Chinese mitten crab), 456 nucleotides long. RefSeq lists it as uncharacterized. NCBI's taxonomy places the organism in Eukaryota, Metazoa, Arthropoda, Malacostraca, Decapoda, Varunidae. The record is from RefSeq and is a predicted model, not a curated record. The transcript is spliced from 3 exons.
UGCGUCACAACUUGCUCUGCUGAAAUUACCGCACCAUAACCACGUCAUCUGCCCCAAUGAGCACAUCUACGGGCCGGAGAACCAGCGCAGAAAAGGAGUAAGUUUAAUUGGUCGCCAGAUGAAACGGUCUUCUUACAUCAAAUUCAUGAAAAAAUACGUACAAUCAGAGGGUGUUACGGGAAGAGUAUCACCCCUGAGGAUAAGAAGAGAGCGUGGACUGAAGUGGCAGAAGCUGUAACAAGUGCCUUCCCUGGGAGUGGACCCCGUACGCAGGAUGACUGUGAGAGGCGUUGGUACAACGUACAACAAAAAUCAAAGCCUCGCAUUGCCAAGUGCAAGAAUGAGCAGCGGCAGACUGCCCCGCUGCUGUAUUGCUAGAGACCAUCCCAGCACAUUGUUCAUUACUUGUGGAAAAUAUACCAUCAGCUGCUCCGGCAACAGCCACUGCUUCAUCAU